GAUGAACGCUGGCGGCGUGCCUAAUACAUGCAAGUCGAGCGAACAGACGAGGAGCUUGCUCCUCUGACGUUAGCGGCGGACGGGUGAGUAACACGUGGAUAACCUACCUAUAAGACUGGGAUAACUUCGGGAAACCGGAGCUAAUCCCGGAUAAUAUAUUGAACCGCAUGGUUCAAUAGUGAAAGACGGUUUUGCUGUCACUUAUAGAUGGAUCCGCGCCGCAUGAGCUAGUUGGUAAGGUAACGGCUUACCAAGGCCACGAUGCGUAGCCGACCUGAGAGGGUGAUCCGCCACACUGGAACUGAGACACGGUCCAGACUCCUACGGGAGGCAGCAGUAGGGAAUCUUCCGCAAUGGGCGAAAGCCUGACGGAGCAACGCCGCGUGAGUGAUGAAGGUCUUCGGAUCGUAAAACUCUGUUAUUAGGGAAGAACAAAUGUGUAAGUAACUAUGCACGUCUUGACGGUACCUAAUCAGAAAGCCACGGCUAACUACGUG
Molecule: ribosomal RNA, 497 nt
Filed under: uncultured bacterium
Lineage: Bacteria
Description: partial 16S ribosomal RNA
Rfam family: Bacterial small subunit ribosomal RNA
Source: RNAcentral